UUGGUUUUGUUAGUUUUGUGUCUGACAACAGACAGUUUUUCAUAAGUUAAUACUCAGAAGUUUUUGUGAAGUCGUUCUCUUGGGUUGUGAAGCCAAGCGAAAGAUUCAAAUCAGUGGUCUAAAUGACAGCUCAGAAGUGGACUGCUUCAGGUAUUCCUUUAUCAGUCCUUGUCUCUGCUCUGUAAAAUGAAGAGUUGCCUCUUCGAAAAACGGUACGCGGGUCGAAAAGUGUGCUGAAGCUAUUGCUAGCGACAACUCACUUUUUUGAAAAGGGUGUGGUAAUGAUCCUUCCGCAGGUUCACCUACGGAAA
Molecule: unclassified non-coding RNA, 311 nt
Filed under: uncultured fungus
Lineage: Eukaryota; Fungi
Description: sequence contains ITS1
Source: RNAcentral